Molecule: long non-coding RNA, 1504 nt
Organism: Aquila chrysaetos chrysaetos
Lineage: Eukaryota; Metazoa; Chordata; Aves; Accipitriformes; Accipitridae
Exons: 2
Source: RefSeq, a predicted model, not a curated record
CCCGCAGCCUGCGAGAGGGCGGCAAAUCUGCACCGAAACGGCGUGAAAACACAUCAGCUCACAGCCCUUUUGGGAUUUAUUUUCUUAAAAAAGCAGCUGAGCUGGUCACUGGGUUCGUUCUUAAGUAAAGAAUUUGGCCCGUUUGAAGCUGGAGCUGCAGCCUGGACCGCCGAUCCCAGGGGACUGCUGACCAGGGAACCUCGCUGGGCCUGAACCGAAAUCGGGAGAUUGGAUGCUGGCACGUUCCUGUCUGAUGCCGAGUCCUCUGGCUCUGGUGUGGAGUAGCUGUAAUGGGAAGAUGAGAGAGGGGCUCUUUCUAUGGGAGUUCAGCAGUUUUAUCCCAUUUAAAAUAUCAGUGUGAUGCAGAGAGCUGCUUCAAUCAAAUGGGAAACCUGUUUCAGCAGUUUUUAAGGACUAAAAUGUAGAAGUAGGGUGUUAGUGAUAUUCUUCCUAGUUUUGCUUUCCUGCAUGUGGUGAAGUUUGCUGUUUCAAUAUGAUAAUACCCUGUGAAACAUGAUCUUCAGGCCAUUUGGGAAAACGAUGUGCUGAAGUUUUUGCGCCGUGGAUGAUGUCUGUUCUUGGCAACUGCCUGGAUGAGUGUCCCAAUCUGUUGGAAAUAAAUCCUGUGGAGAGCGGGAGCUGCCUGCCCAGCCCGGAGCACGCAGCAGUGCCCCAGUCAGCAGGGCUGGGGGGACGGCAGGCUUUUUUCUGGGUUUUCUAAUCGAAAUCCUUUGUACUCAAGGCAAGACUUCAGUCAGCGUAACUUCAAUAAUGCAGAUAUAUGGUUCUUUCAACAAGCCAGUGUUGUCUACCAUGAUGGAGUAUUUUAUUACACUUUAUCUGCUCCAUGCCUGCAGGUCUUACCCCAAACCUUAAUUCAACGUUUGGGUCGCGAAGAUGGCAUGCGGCUUGUUCUGUCGUAAAUCCUGCCCGAGGAGCUGGGUGCGGGGACGGGCAGAGCCCUCUGUCCUGUGGCCACCGGCACUGUUCCCGUGGGAGCCCGGGGCCAGGGCAGGCUCCGUCCCCGCGGGAGGUGCGGGACCUGCAGCCCCGGCCAGCACCGCUCGGGUCUGCGGCGUUGGCGUGACGAGGACAAAGCGGUGAGUGCAGCUGGGAGGGACUCACGGGGACGUCUGAUGGGAGAUCCUGCUCCGCGUGUUGGACCGUCAGCGCGGUGCUUCUCCCUGCUUGUUUUGUUUCACUUGGAGAAGUGUCAUGAGACAUUUUAGAUGGCUUGAUUCCACAAAAUCACUUUGAAUUCAGGUUUUGUUUGGUUUUGAGGAUGAGCGUUGUGAGCCCCAAAUGUCUGUCCCAGUCCUCGUCCCUGCCUUCGCCUAAGACCAGUUGCACAUCUUUCGUCUUCCUCUCCAUCUUGUGAGUGGAGCCAGAGUUUGGUGGGCAGAUGUUUUCUCCUUUGUUUUGAUUUUUGUUAUUUCCCGGAGUGAUUUCAGUAGUAUCCUCAAAGAAGCCAGAAAUAAAUUUUCCAGUUGCCAUCAGAAGUUAA